CCUACGGGAGGCAGCAGUGGGGAAUCUUGCACAAUGGGGGAAACCCUGAUGCAGCGACGCCGCGUGAGUGAAGAAGUAUUUCGGUACGUAAAGCUCUAUCAGCAGGGAAGAAAAUGACGGUACCUGACUAAGAAGCCCCGGCUAACUACGUGCCAGCAGCCGCGGUAAUACGUAGGGGGCAAGCGUUAUCCGGAUUUACGGGGUGUAAAGGGAGCGUAGACGGCAGCGCAAGUCUGGAGUGAAAUCCCAUGGCUUAACCAUGGAACUGCUUUGGAAACUGUGCAGCUAGAGUGCAGGAGAGGUAAGCGGAAUUCCUAGUGUAGCGGUGAAAUGCGUAGAUAUUAGGAGGAACACCAGUGGCGAAGGCGGCUUACUGGACUGUAACUGACGUUGAGGCUCGAAAGCGUGGGGAGCAAACAGGAUUAGAUACCCCAGUAGUC
Molecule: ribosomal RNA, 440 nt
Filed under: uncultured bacterium
Lineage: Bacteria
Description: partial 16S ribosomal RNA
Rfam family: Bacterial small subunit ribosomal RNA
Source: RNAcentral